RNAcentral lists this ribosomal RNA (745 nucleotides) under Bacteroides ovatus. RNAcentral's name for it is "partial 23S ribosomal RNA". It matches the Rfam family "Bacterial large subunit ribosomal RNA", at positions 24 to 744 of the family's 2925-position model. Lineage: Bacteria; Pseudomonadati; Bacteroidota; Bacteroidia; Bacteroidales; Bacteroidaceae. The record is from RNAcentral.
GCGGAUGCCUUGGCUCUCGGAGGCGAUGAAGGACGUGAUAAGCUGCGAUAAGCUUCGGGUAGGUGCAAAUAACCUUUGAUCCGAAGAUUUCCGAAUGGGACAACCCGGCAUUCUGAAGGAAUGUCAUCCAUCCUAGAUGGAAGCUAACGCAGGGAACUGAAACAUCUUAGUACCUGCAGGAAAAGAAAAUAAUAAUGAUUCCCCANNNNNNNNNNGAAAAGAAAAUAAUAAUGAUUCCCCAAGUAGUGGCGAGCGAACGGGGAUUAGCCCAAACCAAUGUUGUUACGGCAAUAUUGGGGUUGUAGGACCACGAUGUCGCAAGAAAUUUAGUGAGAAGAACCCUUUGGAAAAUGGGACCAUAGACGGUGAUAGUCCGGUAUUCGAAGCUAAAUGAAGCGUAGUGGUAUCCUGAGUAGCGCGGGACACGAGGAAUCUUGCGUGAAUCUGCCGGGACCAUCCGGUAAGGCUAAAUACUCCCGAGAGACCGAUAGCGAACCAGUACUGUGAAGGAAAGGUGAAAAGCACUUCGAAUAGAAGAGUGAAAUAGUCCCUGAAACCGUGCGCCUACAAGCGGUCGGAGCAGCGUAAGUUGUGACGGCGUGCCUUUUGCAUAAUGAACCUACGAGUUACUUUUUCCGGCAAGGUUAAGCAUUUCAAAAUGUGUAGCCGAAGCGAAAGCGAGUCUGAACAGGGCGAUUAGUCGGAAGGAGUAGACGCGAAACCAAGUGAUCUACCCUUGGUCAGG